Molecule: transfer RNA, 71 nt
Filed under: bovine gut metagenome
Also listed under: 1 other name
Rfam family: tRNA
About the family: Transfer RNA (tRNA) molecules are approximately 80 nucleotides in length.
Source: RNAcentral
CCGAUGUAGCUCAGUUGGUAGAGCAACUGAUUCGUAAUCAGUAGGUCGUGCGUUCAAGUCGCAUCAUCGGC